UUUGAUUGUUGUGAUUGUCAUGCCUUGCAUUAGACCGUUCAUGCAUCAUGUGUGUCUUGCAUCGUGUGGUGUAUAUCGUGUGUUGAUGCUUGUUUCCGGUUUCCUCCGUCUCGAUAGAGUUCCGCAAGCGUGUCGGAUGUGAGGGUCGUUCGACUACGUCGGUUCGUCUGCUUCGCAGAGUCAUUCUUCUUCGAAGCGGGAUCUCAGGCACGAUGAUCAUUUCCCCAGAUACCAUUACUAUCAUUGCCAUGCUAGUUAUCGCUUCUACCAUUUAUGUCUCGUUGCCUACCACAUGUUUCCAUAUCCGCCUCUCAACAAUGCCAUGAUUACCUUCAACCUGUUCGACCUAGCAAACCACUGAUUGGCUAUGUUACUGCUUGCUUAAUCUUGUUGUUAGCGUUGUUAGUUGCAGGUGCAGUUGCUUCCAUGUGAAAACAUGGGUUCCUUGUCAUAUCACCCUAUUAAAUGCCAUUUAAUUUAAUGCACCUAUAUACUUGGUAAAAGCUGGAAGGCUUGGCCUUUCUAGCCUGGUGUUUUGUUCCACCUUUGCCCCCUUAGUUUUCGGCUACCGGUGUUAUGUUCCAUAAAUGAGCGCUCCUAACACGAUCGGGGUUGUUAUGGGGACCCCCUUGAUAAUUCGUUUUAGAUUAAAGCUGGUCUGGCAAGGCCCAACUUUGGUACUACAUUUGCCUAAUAACUAACGAACUACAUAGGGAGUAAUUAACCCGAGGAUAUUUAAUCAACCCCCGGGCCAGUGCUCCUCAUGAGUGUUGGCCCCACCUGAGCGAUGUCCGGCGCCCCUCUGGUCACCUGGAGGUUUAGCGAUCCCGACGUCUAGCUCAUCCGUCGUGUCCUGAGAACGAGGUACGCGACUCCUAUCGGGAUCGUCGACACGUCGGGCGGCCUUGCUGGAUUAGUUUUACCUUUGACGAGAUAUCUUGUGCAUUGGGAUUCCGGUGAUGCUUUGGGUAAUCUCAGAGUUGAGGUUUUCCACUAGGGAAUCCGACGAGAUCGCGAGCUUUGUGAUUGAGGAUUUCUAUGCAGCUUGUGGUAAUUUGUGAUGGACUAGUUGGAGCACCCCUGCAGGGUUAAAUCUUUCGGAAAGCCAUGCCCGCGGUUAUGUGGCAACGUGGAAGCUUUGUUUAACACUGGUUCUAGAUAACUUGAAGUUAAUUAAUUAAAAUAUGCCAACUGUGUGCGUAACCGUGACUGUCUCUUUCGUGAGUUCCUUCUCCCAUCGAGGACACGGUGGGGUUAUGUCUGAUGUAGGUAGGUGUUCAGGAUCAUUCGCUUGAUCAUCAGUAGUCACGUCCGCUAUGCGUGGAUCUUCCCCCUCUUAUUUCUGGUAUUCGUAAGUUAGCCACCAAAUAUGUGCUUAGCCGCUGCUGCAACCUCACCACUUAAGCAUACCUCACCCAUUAAGCUUUGCUAGUCUUGAUACCUUUGGAAAUGAGAUUGCUGAGUCCCCCGUGGCUCACAGAUUACUACAACACCAGUUGCAGGUACAGGUAAAGGUUACUUGACGCGAGCGCGUUGAUUGUUCAUUUGGAGUUGCUUCUUCUUCUUCUGCAUCGAUCUAGGAUGGGUUCCAGGCCGGCAGCCUGGGAUAGCAAGGAUGGACGUCAUUCUUCUUUUGUCGUUUGUUUUCGUACGUAGUCGGACCCUGCUCUUACUCUUGAUGUUUAUGUAAUGUACUGGUGUGACUCUGAUGUAGCUUGUGGCGAGUGUAAGCCAACUCUUUAUAUAUCUCUUCUUUUCAGUACAUGUACUUCUAACGAUAUCCAUUCUUGCGACACGAUGAGAUGCGCUUCUAUCCCCGACGAGGCCCUCGUGCCAAAUUGAGGAUAGGGUCGCAUCUUGGGCGUGACACUCAUGCCAAGACCACUAUCACACAUGCACUCACAUAUCCCACCAAGGUGACACAACAACACAAGGAUCAAAACAAAGAAGACAAUAAUAUGAUGCUAUGCAUGAUGCAUGAAGCACAUGAAAUGAUGACACCACUAAGUCUUACAUCCAUCUCAUUAACAAUCCAAGGUUGCCAUACAAGGAAAUAU
Molecule: long non-coding RNA, 2057 nt
Filed under: Hordeum vulgare
Lineage: Eukaryota; Viridiplantae; Streptophyta; Magnoliopsida; Poales; Poaceae
Description: long non-coding RNA (HVUL_LNC000367)
Source: RNAcentral